GUAAUUCAUUACGAAGUUUAAUUCAUUGAGCAUCAAACUUUUAAAUUGAAGAGUUUGAUCAUGGCUCAGAUUGAACGCUGGCGGCAGGCCUAACACAUGCAAGUCGAACGGUAACAGGAAGCAGCUUGCUGCUUCGCUGACGAGUGGCGGACGGGUGAGUAAUGUCUGGGAAACUGCCUGAUGGAGGGGGAUAACUACUGGAAACGGUGGCUAAUACCGCAUAACGUCGCAAGACCAAAGAGGGGGACCUUCGGGCCUCUUGCCAUCAGAUGUGCCCAGAUGGGAUUAGCUUGUUGGUGAGGUAACGGCUCACCAAGGCGACGAUCCCUAGCUGGUCUGAGAGGAUGACCAGCCACACUGGAACUGAGACACGGUCCAGACUCCUACGGGAGGCAGCAGUGGGGAAUAUUGCACAAUGGGCGCAAGCCUGAUGCAGCCAUGCCGCGUGUAUGAAGAAGGCCUUCGGGUUGUAAAGUACUUUCAGCGGGGAGGAAGGUGUUGUGGUUAAUAACCGCAGCAAUUGACGUUACCCGCAGAAGAAGCACCGGCUAACUCCGUGCCAGCAGCCGCGGUAAUACGGAGGGUGCAAGCGUUAAUCGGAAUUACUGGGCGUAAAGCGCACGCAGGCGGUCUGUCAAGUCGGAUGUGAAAUCCCCGGGCUCAACCUGGGAACUGCAUUCGAAACUGGCAGGCUUGAGUCUUGUAGAGGGGGGUAGAAUUCCAGGUGUAGCGGUGAAAUGCGUAGAGAUCUGGAGGAAUACCGGUGGCGAAGGCGGCCCCCUGGACAAAGACUGACGCUC
RNAcentral lists this ribosomal RNA (800 nucleotides) under Salmonella enterica subsp. enterica serovar Typhimurium. RNAcentral's name for it is "bacterial SSU rRNA". It matches the Rfam family "Bacterial small subunit ribosomal RNA", at positions 1 to 748 of the family's 1533-position model. The record is from RNAcentral. Lineage: Bacteria; Pseudomonadati; Pseudomonadota; Gammaproteobacteria; Enterobacterales; Enterobacteriaceae.